Procambarus clarkii (red swamp crayfish) is the source of this 1526-nucleotide non-coding RNA. The record is from RefSeq and is a predicted model, not a curated record. NCBI's taxonomy places the organism in Eukaryota, Metazoa, Arthropoda, Malacostraca, Decapoda, Cambaridae.
UGGACUUUCUUGGGAAAACCUUUGCGUCACGGCCCGGACGCACGUCGGUGUAAGCAUCCGGAGGAGCGGGUGUAGCCUGUCAGUCCGUCUCCUUCUCCCGUCUCCUGAGCACUGCUCUAGUUCUGUCCUCGACCGUCGACUGUGGCAUACAGUGAUCCGUGCAGUCACUCGCAGUGAUUCACAGUGAUCCACAAUAGCCCUCCCCUGGUGGCCUGCUGUCACUUACAGUGACGUAUAGUGACUGAGAGAACCUUCAGAGAUCAGCUGGGGAAUCGCAAGAUAAAAAAAUUGAAAAGGGACAGUGACACCAACAGUGACACCUGGGUGACGCAAGUGACACCGACAGUGACGUCUGGGUGACACAAGUGACACCGACAGUGACGUCUGGGUGACACAAGUGACACCAACAGUGACACCUGUGUGACGCAAGUGACACCGACAGUGACGUCUGGGUGACACAAGUGACACCAACAGUGACACCUGGGUGACGCAAGUGACACCGACAGUGACGUCUGGGUAACACAGGUGACACCGAGGAAGACAAGAGUGAAGGUGCCACAGGAAGUAUGAAGGUGACCCGACCUUUGACCUUCCUCACUCUACUGGUCAUUCCUCGCCACACGUCUGCACAAGGUACGCAUGAGGUCGAGACCCACAGCGGAUGUUACCUGCCCCUGGAGCUCUUCGAGAGCCGCGAGGUCACACUGAGGCCCAGCGUGACCUCUGUCACCAUGGCAGAGGUCACGCUGACCGCUCAGGUCAACCUCACUAACAGCGCCCUCGCCCUCGCAAUGAAGGGAGCAGCUGCCAGGAGGACUCUACACAAUCCAGGGAGUUUGCUUCAAUCAGACACACAGGGGACAAGGGACUCACGAAGUCCCUAGUGGUCCUGGUGACCCUGCUGGUGGUCUCCGGGGUCAUCAACCUCGGCCUCCUUACAUACGUCUUCGUCCUCCGGGUGGAGAAGGCUCGUCUUAAGAAGAAGACAGAACUAUUCCAUGGUAUCCACUCUGAGGCACACGCACGCCCUCAACCCAUGGCACCAGGCAGCCCUCAACCAAUGGCACCAGGCACCCCUCAACCCAUGGCACACAGGGAAAUGGCAUCAUUCGACAACACAGUCUACUAUGAUAAGUCACGUGAGAGCGACAUGUAUGACAACACCAGGGUUGAUUCUGUUCUCUAUGACGAUAUCACCACUCUCAAGAUGGUGUAGUGGAUAUCAUGAUGAGUUGAAAUGCGAUCCCUUAGUGUGUUGGUUGAGACGAGUCCUCAUCUCUAAGUUGCAGAAUGAUCCCGCAAUGUACGGUCUCUUCGAUUUCAUAAAACUUACACAGAGGGUUGGGGUUACAGGCUAUCUUUCUUAAAGCAUAUAAUUUAGGCUCACCCCGACUUGCCUAUGUCCGUCCUAUACCACAGACCAUUCCCCCUACAAGCCUCCAAAUUCAGACAAACAAAACGUUCUCUUUUAAAGGUAAAGAGGUGAAACCUAGUGAGGCUCGUGGGAAUAUUUCUAUCAAAUAUUG